Molecule: ribosomal RNA, 253 nt
Filed under: uncultured bacterium
Lineage: Bacteria
Description: partial 16S ribosomal RNA
Rfam family: Bacterial small subunit ribosomal RNA
Source: RNAcentral
UACGAAGGGGGCUAGCGUUGCUCGGAAUCACUGGGCGUAAAGGGUGCGUAGGCGGUCCUUUAAGUCUGGGGUGAAAGCCUGGAGCUCAACUCCAGAACUGCCUUUGAUACUGAAGAUCUUGAGUUCGGGAGAGGUGAGUGGAACUGCGAGUGUAGAGGUGAAAUUCGUAGAUAUUCGCAAGAACACCAGUGGCGAAGGCGGCUCACUGGCCCGAUACUGACGCUGAGGCACGAAAGCGUGGGGAGCAAACAGG